UGGGUACCUGCGUCUGCAUCAUAAAACGAUGCAGGCCAACUGGCAUCAGUACAUGGAAUGUACGAGUAUGCGAGCUGGAAAUACUAAACCACAACUUAAGAUUUAAGGGAGCACAAGAGAACACUUACCUUGACUUUGAACGACUCAUGAAUAACCGAACUCAAUGUAAAGCAAUAAGACACAUGCAAUACAUAUAAAGCUUGUAAACAAUGUAAACAACUUAGUUUGUGAAGGAUAAAACGACAACAAACUCAACUUUACUUAUAUGGAAGAAAUAUAGCUUUUGUGGGAGGUUCUUUAACCGACAACCACCACUACGAGCCUUAGUGAUGAUACAACGUUUUACCUUACGUUGCCAAAGGACCAUCCUAUACCUUGCCAUCGAUAUAGGACCUUACUUUAACUUUUGCUUAAUGGAUCCACUAGCUUAACUUUCGUGAUCAUCUAAAAAGUAUGACCCGAGAAGUCCCAUGUUUGGCUACAUGGUUCUUAUGGAGAGUUGAGUUAAUAUGAACUCGUGUCCCCAAUUCGGUGCUCAAUACUACUCCCAAAAAUACUUUGGCUCAUGCUUUUAAAAUAACUUCUUUCUUUAGUUUGAGAUAAUUACUCAAAGCUUAGCCCAAAGGCUCUUUUGGAAAACACGGUUCCUUUCUUACUUAAAUGUAAAACAUUUAAAAACUUCUUUGGGAAGUACAUAGUUCCCUAAUAACUUUGGAGAAAUGGACUCGACUCAUUACUCAUUACUUUACUUGAACCCUUUACUUUUGACUUGACUUGAAACUCUUAACUUAACUUAAGACUUGAUACUCUUAACUCGACUUGAGACUUGAAACGACGUUAAGACGUUCAAUAACGACUCUUGAAAAGCUUUAACGACUUGCCUUGACUUGCUUAACUUCUAAGCUUGGCGCUAACAUCACUUGACUUGGAAUCUAAUUUUCUUGAAUUGAAUUAUGGAUUCAAGGACUUGAUUGGUGUUUGGAAGGACCUCAUGAUGUUUAGGAAUGAUUUAGAAAUGAUUUGGGAUAGCCAAACUUAAGAAAAUCUNNNNN
RNAcentral lists this long non-coding RNA (1052 nucleotides) under Solanum tuberosum (potato). RNAcentral's name for it is "long non-coding RNA (STUB_LNC009179)". The record is from RNAcentral. Lineage: Eukaryota; Viridiplantae; Streptophyta; Magnoliopsida; Solanales; Solanaceae.